Puntigrus tetrazona (Sumatra barb) is the source of this 602-nucleotide long non-coding RNA. RefSeq lists it as uncharacterized. The record is from RefSeq and is a predicted model, not a curated record. The transcript has 4 exons. NCBI's taxonomy places the organism in Eukaryota, Metazoa, Chordata, Actinopteri, Cypriniformes, Cyprinidae.
AAAAAUCCCGGUAAACCGAAUCCUUGAAAGGAUCAGUCCUCUUGCUGAGGUGGUACUAAAAAGUACCGGCUACAAGGUACUGUUCCCAGUGGAAAAAAACUCAAAAGUGAACCGUACCGUGCCGUACCAUGCAGUGAAAGCGCCUUUUAGAGAACAUUCAAACGGAGCGCGAGAUCAACGGACAAGUAACGAAUGAACAUCAGCACAUGGUUCAACAAUCUUGAGGAUGGAUCACAUCAAGUCCUUUUGCAGUUGUAUCCGUCAAAGAAAUACACAUACAAAAUGGAAAUGACUUUCAAAUUGCAGAGCUUGGACAAAGUUAGCACACAGGUUUUGAAGAGGAAUUCAUCAAGGACAUAGUCUCAGGCUCAAGACGUCACACACAAGUGCAAACAGUUCAGUCGCCGUAUUGGUUGAAUUAUAUAGGAUUUCCAGGAGACGUGCGUCUUGCAUUCUUUAACGUUCCGCCUGGAAACAAAGAUGCUGUGACGCCAAAACUUCAUAAAAGAAGAAAGCCAUCGUGUUUACAGACGUGGUUCGGAGUGGCCCCACUGGGUGGAUUUUUUUCAUGUGGAGAGAUGAUGAAGGAUAUUAUAUUCGCC